RNAcentral lists this long non-coding RNA (646 nucleotides) under Capsella grandiflora. RNAcentral's name for it is "long non-coding RNA (CGRA_LNC000009)". Lineage: Eukaryota; Viridiplantae; Streptophyta; Magnoliopsida; Brassicales; Brassicaceae. The record is from RNAcentral.
AUAUUCUCACUUGUUGUUUCAUGGAGUAUUUGAUAAGCUUUUUAACUUCUCAUAUGUUUUCUCGUUAAUCUGAUCUACUAUGGCUUCUACCAUGUUUUGAGGUUCUAGAAUCCAUUACCGCAUAGUUUACCUUAUUUGAUUUCUUGAAUCGAUUUGAUCCCAAGAUCAUUCAUGUACAUGUAGGCUUUUUGUUGGGGUUCCUUUUCAAGAAAAUCUAGUGUAAAUUUCGGAGCUUAGAUUGUUGUGAGAUGGUAUUCAUAUCUAUAUCAUUAUCCCUAUCUCAUUCGCUUCUUUCAUGUCUAAAGGUGGAUCAAAUUCGGACUCCACCCAGGUCACACAGAAGAUACAAUAAUACCCCGGCCUACUCCCGACAGAGAGCUUUGAUGUUAGUUGGUUGUGCUCAUACAAUGAAACUUGGGGGGUGUCAGUAGAGUGUGGUUGUUAAAGGAAUUGUAUGUAUUUUGAAAUCAGGUGUUAGUGAAUUGUGUAUUUGAAACUAUACAUUAUAAUCAAGUGUUAUUGGAUUGUGUAUUUGUUGGAUGUAAAUUCUCAUCGUUGUCUCUGUUUUGAAAUGUUCACUUUUGGGUUUUGUGAAAUGUAUGAGAAGAAAUAUCAGAGGCUAGGAGGAGAUGAAGUUAAGAAUUGG